GAUAGUUUUAGAAGUUAAAAUGGAUGAAAUCUUUUUUUUUGGUUUAAUUUUGCUUUUUAUUAAUCAACUUACAAAGAGUUUAAAUACAUGAAUAGACAUUGUGAAUCUUAAAAAUAUAUGUGGCCCAAAAAUGACCAAAUAAAUAAAACCCGGCCCACAUUAUUGAUCCGCCCCACUUUACCCAUUUAAGAAAUAGUAGGGUUUCUAAAUUAAUCAUCCCAUCUGGUCUUUCCCUUUCAUCGCCUCUUUCUCCAUAGCUAUCUUCCUUUACCUUUGAUUUUUUCUUGUUCAGCUUUGGGUGACCAGUACCAUUCCUUUGUUUCUUAUUUUGGUUGCUUCAAGCUUGUAUAAGUAAGCAAAUAUCUUCAUUUCUUCUUGUACACAUCCGAAUCUAACCUUUGCUUUCUUCAGGUAAAAUCUUCAGUAUUCUACCUAUGUUUUUUGGUGCUAAAAGGAGGGUCUCGUCUAUUGAAACUCAUUCCUUUCCUCUUCUGUGAUGGAAAUCAAAAACUCGGACUCGCUGAUAGUUGACGAAAAAAUCUACAUUCAGCUGCUUGCAUUCUCUCUGACAUGGUGACCCCUGAUCUACUGAGGUUCCCUCCAUGUUGGCUGAUGUAAAUAGACAUAGUAUUUCCACUUUUUUGUUCAGCUCCGUUUGUAGAUAAAAUGUUAGUGAACACACUUAUUGUAUCCUUUCCAGAUCUAUUAGCAUGUUGCUACUUUUAAUCUCAA
This is a long non-coding RNA of Capsicum annuum, 732 nucleotides long. RefSeq lists it as uncharacterized. The record is from RefSeq and is a predicted model, not a curated record. The transcript has 2 exons. Lineage: Eukaryota; Viridiplantae; Streptophyta; Magnoliopsida; Solanales; Solanaceae.